Molecule: non-coding RNA, 1265 nt
Organism: Poecilia reticulata (guppy)
Lineage: Eukaryota; Metazoa; Chordata; Actinopteri; Cyprinodontiformes; Poeciliidae
Source: RefSeq, a predicted model, not a curated record
CUAUGCUUUCAUAUUUCUGUAGUACAUUUUAUUUUGCGCAUGAACUUUGAUACAUGACAUUAAAGCUUGAUUUAAAACACGGGUUUGGGCCGUUGUUAAUCUUACGCCAUGUAAUGCUGGCAUAUUAGUUCUCGCUACCYGCUAGACCUCCACCCCCUUCUCUUGGCUGUCCUACGCCCAAUUUUCCCCUGUUUUAUUUAAAAAAGAAUAUCACUUGCGCCAAGUCUAGAAUCUUUAAAGAUAACUGAUGGGURGCGACUUUCCGGGUUGUUUGUAUGUUGUCUUAGGUGAGACUGAUCAGGCGGUCUUAGUAAAAGUCGUAAUUUUCCAGGAGAUGCUACCGCUAAUGUAGAAGCUAAUAUGGCUGCCUUGUGUGCUUCAAGGAGGGGCUGUGAACUCUUCCGACAUUAAUUGAUUUCCGACCUACUGAUUUCAAAAUAGUUUUUUUAUUUUACUGACAAUGUUUUUGACAUUUUUUUUCUUUUUUCUUUUCAAGGAACAUAUGGAUCAUAUUUUUGAUAGACUCCAUGAUCGUUUGGAGCCAUUUCUAUUUCUACAAUUACAGAUGGUCCUGCAGUCAAUCAGUUGGCCACAGGUGAAGAAGCAAAGUGAUGACGGUGACGACAACGAUGAUGUCUUGGAAGCAGAAACUAUGCAGGUGACAGGGUUUCUCCAUCAGUUUCUCAAAGAAGCAUUUUCAGACAAUCUGCACCAGCUCAUGAGAUUUUGGGUUGGCUGGGAGGCUCCAUGGCAGGAACUGAAGCCUGAAGUAGUGCAGUCAACUGGACCAAACCACAAGCCCACUUCAUCCACCUGCAGUGAAAGUUUACGCCUUUCAAGCCAUUAUUCUACCUACCAGGCUCUGUAUGCUGACAUGAUGGUGUCUUAAAUCGGUUGGGACUGGCUUUGGUCUUCUUUGAGAACUCAGUGCAUUGGUGUGUCAUUUGUUCAAUAAUUGCAUUUCAAUAUGGCAAUUAAGUAAAAUUACAAAGUCGUUUUAUUAUUAGCUUCUUUUUUUUUUACAAAUACUAUUCAUCAUUCACCGCAGUCUUGACAUUAAGUUGUGUUCUUUGAAGUGACGACUAAGUACCUGAAAUGUUUGCCAAGCAUUCCUGUAAAUCUUAAAUGUUAGAGUAACUAUGUUCAGAGUUUCUGAGUCAGCACUGUUUGUACAGGAAAUAUGAAACGGAAACUGUUUUUAUGCAAUAUUUUAUUGAAUAUUCAUCUAUGCUUGAAGUAUUAGAAAAUAAAUGACAUAAGACAAA